Molecule: non-coding RNA, 1487 nt
Organism: Biomphalaria pfeifferi
Lineage: Eukaryota; Metazoa; Mollusca; Gastropoda; Planorbidae
Source: the annotation of a GenBank genome assembly
UUUUCUUUUUUUUUUUUUUUUUUUUUUGUUUGUGUUUAAAAAUUGCCAUCAUUACCAAGAGCCAGUCCCUAACUCUUUGAGUGGUCACACAGUCACACUAAUAUAUCAUGUUACAGUUUUGUUUUUUUGUUGUUUUUUUCUACUUUCGUUUUGGGUUUAGAUUUUUUUAUUUUUGAAUUGAAUGUUGCAAAUACACUUAUGUCAGACCCAUCUCCAGUUCAGUGUGACAAAGUUAAGUAUAUUUCUUAAGUGUGUGUGUUUUUUUUAAUGUUUUUUUUCUAUAUAGAUUUUAAUUUUAAUCCUAUUUGCCUCAGAUAUUUAGUUCAAUAAGAACAUCUUAUAUAUAUAUAUAUUGUCACAUAAUAAGUCACACUAAAAGUUAGCAUUGAGAUGGAGAUGUGUGCUUUGAUGGCUGCCAUUGAUAAAAGUUCAGUUGAAGAUGUAACGUGCUUCAAUAUGUGUGAAUACCUAGAAUUAAAUAUCCAGUUAUGCACAUCAUAUUUAGCCUACUGAACCCUGUGUAUAAGAUUACUACAAGAAAAUUGACUUGUUGUUCAUUCAUAUAGUAAGAUUGUUCGGUGUACAUUUUAUUUCAAAUUUAUAUUCUUUUUUAUCAAGGUUUAUAUCCUGCAUGAAUGCCUUUUUAAAAAAAAAAAAAACCUUAGCAGACAUUCCUUAGCUUUCUUUGCAUUGCAUUUAUUAAUGUGAUUGAUGACAAUAGCUGUGCUUACAAGUUUGACAUCCCACAAGAGUUACAAGGACAUUAAGGUGGGUAUUAUCACCACCUCUUGGUUCCCUUUAGCUCUUUGAUUUACAAACCAAGUGUAAAAUAUAGUUUUAAAAGGAGAGUGUGUUUAAGAGCCAGUUGGUUGGUUUGGUACCAGCAAUGCAACCAAGGUGGAUGUUUAGGUUUUCUUGUUUGUUUGAGAUGUUAUUGUAGUUUAAUGUGACUCACUGAAAUCCUAUGGUCAAAUCUUAGUGAUGGUCUCAUUGGUCAGUUUUGCUGUGAAUGUAAACUAUGAUCAAUAAACUUCAUGUUGAUGACUUAUGUCAGCUUGCUUUUCAAGUCUGUCACUAGAAAGAGUACUGCCCCCUUAGAGUAAUACAAUCUAUGACAUACUAAGAGAUUGUUCCCCCUGAUAAAGUGAAAAGCCAUUUGUAAUGUUAGGACCAGAGUAUGUUAGUUAUUAAGCUGGGUUUUUUUUAUUUUUUUGUGGGGUGUGUGGGUGAGUGACAAAAACAGUUUUUCUAUCUAUCAGGUGGAAUUAAGUUGGAGUCCUGACUCAAGCUAAGUUGUAUUUGCUCAACCACAUGCUGGAGCAGCACAGAAGCCUUCUCCCAGCCUCAGUAUGAGACCAAUCUCUGUGUCACAGAGAGACUAGACCAUAGUGCACUGAAUACGCUCUAGCAUGAAAAGUAUGCUUACAAAAGCAUUUUAAGAAACAAAACAAUAAAAGUAAAACGAGUUUUUAAACUUACAAAUUUUA